CUUGCAUUCCCCACGUGAAUUUUUGAGGCCAGCCCUGCGCUUAAAGCCCGAGUGUGUCGCGGGGAGUGUAAGCAGAGGUUUUGCCAUACAGCCAAACGCGAUAAUUCUCUUGCGAGAUUUCCACAGUUUUGUGGCGGUCUUACUCGAGGCUUAGAGCCAGAAGCCUCCCAAGGGCUGGGACUACAGGGGCGCACCACCAGGCUAGGUUCACUUCACUUAUCUUAUCUGGUUUGGGGGACUAAAGAUCUCUCCUCGCGAUGAGCCAGAACCAUCGUCGCCAGCGUCCUCCUUGGCCGGUAGGAGGCGCUAGAGGCCCGCCGUGUGCCGGAGCUCAGGCUUCUGCCUCCCUACCAAUAGCGUCAGUCUCUUGGUCCUAACCCUGCGCCCAUUUAAUAGACGCGGUUCCGGCCCAGGCCGGAGUCAGGUACCCAUUACGGAACAGACCCAGAAUUCAACCUUAAAAGCAUUCAUCUCCAAAAUCCCUGCCCCGGUCCGCUCCUGUGCUCACUGCACACUUGGUGCAGCAAAACCUCAGGCGUGGGUUCGGAUCCCCCUUCCUAUGCUGCUGGCCUGGUGCUGUCAGGGAGGACAGCGCGCCCUAGAGCUCAGCUUCCCUGUGCAGUCCCGAUUAUUAGGAUGGAGGUGUAAGUGGGCUCCCACUGGCACGGGCCGGCACCACGAGUGCCUAGUAAACUAGUAAACGGUGACAGGGAAGAGACACCCCGAUCCGGGCCAGCCGGGCGGGGUGCAGGCCGGACGCCCCCGGUGGGCCGGCGGCGGCGGCGCAGCCUCUCCCGGCGGUAAUCAGCCCCCGCCCUCGGCUCCGCCAGCCGCUAAUUACACGUCUCCUAAUGAGGCCGGCGGCUGUUUGCAAGCACGCGGGUCCCCGCCCCGCGGGGGCGGCCGUGGUGGGCCAGCGGCAGGCGGAGGAGGGGACUGAGGCUUAGAGGGACGGACGCACGCAGGCAUGACUCACGCGGGGAGACAGCCUGAUCCCCGCUGAGCCCGGACCUGUGCGCUGAGCCCAUUCAUCACCCUUCCGCGCUAACUCUUCUUACUGCGGUCAGAUGGGCGUGCCUGGAUCGGAUCGGAUCAGGCCGACUGGGGCCCGGGCUCCCUCCCCUUUGGGUCUGCCCCUCCUCACUCCCAAGCUUUGGCUCAACCACAGACCCAAAGGUUAGUUCCAGCAACACCUUAUAAAAACCUAUUUUAAAACAACUCAUGUAACUCGUUAUCAGACUGGAAGUUUGGACGAUUCCCUAGGAAAAGGUUGGGGUAGUUGCUAAUAAAACGCUCAGCUUAGGGGUUCAGGUGAGAUGUAAAGUGGGGGAGGAGCUUGCUGUGAGGGCUGAAGAUAGGAGUUGGAUCUCCGAGACGGACCAUGUUGUCCUCUAACCUCCACGUGUGUACACGUACCUACCUCUCCCUAAAUAAAUUUAGAUGGGGGCGGCAAGAGGCAGCUUGCAAAGGUCUGAGUGCCUUCCCCAAGCCGUUGCUCACCCUUUUCUUCUUUGAGACAGGGUCUCAGUAUGUGUCCCUGGCUGGCCCUGACCGUACCCUGUAGAUCAUGGUAGCCGCCUCUGCGGGUGUUAAAGGUAUGAAGUCCUUCGCCCAGCUUUAGGGUGCUUUUACUCUGAGAUGCUGGAGAUGUAUUGUGGGGCUGAGCAAGUGCUCUUGUUGCCAAGGUACAGCCCCAACCUCGGGGCUUUCUCGUUGCCAAGGUACAGCCCCAACCUCGGGGCUUUCUCGGGAGUCCCUUUCAGAGUCUAGAUGGCGCCACGGAGGAUGCUGGCAGGAGACCUGAACCUGAUUGGCAGUUUCUGCAGCAGCCACUGCCCUCUGCCUCGAAGCCUGUCAACCCAUUUCCUGUUUCUUUCGUUUGUUUUUGUUUUUUAAGGAAUAAAAAAAAAACACCUGGU
Long non-coding RNA from Meriones unguiculatus (Mongolian gerbil), 1919 nucleotides. RefSeq lists it as uncharacterized. The record is from RefSeq and is a predicted model, not a curated record. NCBI's taxonomy places the organism in Eukaryota, Metazoa, Chordata, Mammalia, Rodentia, Muridae. The transcript has 3 exons.